RNAcentral lists this ribosomal RNA (465 nucleotides) under uncultured Klebsiella sp. RNAcentral's name for it is "bacterial SSU rRNA". It matches the Rfam family "Bacterial small subunit ribosomal RNA", at positions 338 to 795 of the family's 1533-position model. The record is from RNAcentral. Lineage: Bacteria; Pseudomonadati; Pseudomonadota; Gammaproteobacteria; Enterobacterales; Enterobacteriaceae.
CCUACGGGAGGCUGCAGUGGGGAAUAUUGCACAAUGGGCGCAAGCCUGAUGCAGCCAUGCCGCGUGUGUGAAGAAGGCCUUCGGGUUGUAAAGCACUUUCAGCGGGGAGGAAGGCGGUGAGGUUAAUAACCUCAUCGAUUGACGUUGCCCGCAGAAGAAGCACCGGCUAACUCCGUGCCAGCAGCCGCGGUAAUACGGAGGGUGCAAGCGUUAAUCGGAAUUACUGGGCGUAAAGCGCACGCAGGCGGUCUGUCAAGUCGGAUGUGAAAUCCCCGGGCUCAACCUGGGAACUGCAUUCGAAACUGGCAGGCUAGAGUCUUGUAGAGGGGGGUAGAAUUCCAGGUGUAGCGGUGAAAUGCGUAGAGGUCUGGAGGAAUACCGGUGGCGAAGGCGGCCCCCUGGACAAAGACUGACGCUCAGGUGCGAAAGCGUGGGGAGCAAACAGGAUUAGAUACCCGAGUAGUC